UUUUUCUUAAGAACUUUGCUGGCUCCAUUACUGUUGUUUAGCAAACUCGAGCGCGCUCUGAUCUCUGUUCCACGCAUGACAUUUCCCUCCCUCCUUUCUUCUCCUAAUCAUCCUCAUUUUCAUAAAACGCGGUGGUGUGGGCCUAUUUCCUGGGUGUGUCCUGGAAGUUUUUAUUGAAAUAUCUUUUGACAGUUUUCCCCUUUCCAUUUCCUCUGUUCUCUCAAGAAGUUCCAGAACAUUCAUUGUCUCCUUUCAGUUGCUGUAUUUCCAGGGAGAUUUUCUUAUGUUCUCUUCCAAAUCUUCAGAAUGAAAAAAAAAAAUCUAUUGUAUCCCCGAUUUCCUGAAGUUCUUUGUUUUAUUUAUUUAUUUAUCUUUUAUUAGAUAUUUUCUUUAUGUACAUUUCAAAUGCUAUCCCGAAAGUUCCCUAAACCCUCCCUCUGCCCUGCUCCCCUACCCACCCACUCCUGCUUCUUGGCCCUGGCAUUCCCCUGUACUGGGGCAUAUAAAGUUUGCAAUACCAAGGGGCCUCUCUUCCCAGUGAUGGCCGACUAGGCCCUCUUCUGCUACAUAUGCAGCUAGAGAUACGAGCUCUGGGGGCACUGAUUAGUUCAUAUUGUUGUUCCACCUAUAGGAUUGCAGACCCCUUCAGCUCCUUGGGUGCUUUCUUUAGCUUCUCCAUUGGGGGCCCUGUGUUCCAUCUUAUAGCUGACUGUGAGCAUCCACUUCUGUAUUUGCCAGGCACUGGCAUAGCCUCAUACGAGACAGCUAUAACAGGGUCCCUUCAGCAAAAUCUUGCUGGCAUAUGCAAUAGUGUCUGGGUUUGGUGGCUGACUAUGGGAUGGAUCCCCGGGUGGGGUAGUCUCUGGAUAGUCCAUCCUUUCGUCUUAGCUCCAAACUUUGUCUCUGUAACUCCUUUCAUGGGUAUUUUGUUCCCUAUUCUAAGGAGGAAUGAAGUAUCAUCCACCCAUUGGUCUUCCCUAGUUCUUUGUUUUCUUAUUUAAUUUUAAGAGUGUGACCCUGGUCUUAAUUUGUAGCUGCAGGAUUUUAUGCCUCCAAAGAUUUUAAUUAUAGUACAUCAGUGCUUUCUUUCUCCAUAUAGUUAUUUUAUUUGUUUUAAAUGGUGCGUGUGAGUGUGUGUGUGUGUGUGUCUGUGUGUCUGUGUGUGUCUGUGUGUGCGCGCGCGCGUGCGUGCUCACAUGUGCUCUAAGAUGUCAAUUCUUUACCCCCACCCCCGGCAUGAAGAGUAGGGAUGGAACUUGAGUCCUCAGGCCUUGAUGACAAGUGCCUUUACCCACUGAACCAUCCCAGCAGUCCUGAAUAUGCGUCAUCACGGGAUGCAAUGACUUUUUCAGGGGAUGGUGCUCUGUGGCUUUGCGGGAAUGAGCCCUCAGCCAGGUGACUGGCAUUUGGAGUUUCUGUGAGGGGUCGGUGUUUAGAACUGUCAUUUUCUAUAGUCUGGCUGGUGGUUUUUAGAAGAAUUCCAUCCAGCCUGAGGUCUCCAGGAAGCUGAGCUUGACAUGAAGGGUUCGACGCGGUGCAGAUGGCUUCUGCAUGUGGUCUCCGCGAGAAGAGACGGGCUACUGUGAGAAUCAGGGGAGAGGCCAGUCAUUCCAAAGACCUCAGCUGAGAGCACCUGGCACUCAACAUUUCUCAAAAGUGCAUCUCACGAGCUGGCCUUGGGGGCCAGCAUCCCUCCACUUCUGAGCUGUAUCGAGGGAGGUGCGCAGUUCCUGGCAGGUGUGUGAGCCACCCCUAGACAAGGAGAGGAGAGGGCUGCCAGCCAAAAUCAGAAUGUCAGAAACUUCGGGCUUGGUCCUUGUGUGGGGGUAGGAUCAGGAAGCUUUGGAGUGGGACCUCUUCUGCCUUUCUCCACUGGGACAGUCAGGCCAGGCAUUUCCUUAGAGAAGACUUCCCGGCUUCCUAGCAGAGGUUCAGCUCUCUGCCUAAAGGUCAUUGCAAGGGCAGUGUUUUCAAGAAACUUCUGCCACUGACCCCGCACCUUUAUCAAAAAUCAGUUAGACAUCUGUGAGCCUAUCAGUGGGAUCUCUCUCUAAUUCCUUGAAUGCUGCCUUUCUCUUUGCCACUAUUGAUUAAAAUCACUCUAUGUAGGGCUGGGGUGUAGCCAGUGAGGACCUGCAUUUGGUCCCCAAGAACUUUAUAAGGCCAGGCUGGUGGUGUACAGUUGUGAUCCCAGCACUGGGGACGUGGACAGGUGGCUGUGUGGACAGGUAGAUCUGUGGACAGGUGGGUCUGUGGACAGGUGGACAGCCAGUCCAGCCUGAUGGGUGAGCUCCAGGUCUGGUGAGAUGCCCCAUCUCAAUCAAUCAAUCAAUCAAUCAAUCAAUCAAUCAAUCAAUCAAGAGUGGAUGACUCCGGAAGACUAGCCCUUGAGGCUGACAUGUGCACAUGUACCCAUACAUGUGUGCUACAUAUAUUUCCUAAGCACUAUGCCUCACCAUUCCUCAAAUUCUGCCCUUUCAGAGCUAGUGAUAGCUGCUCGAGGACCUCUGUUUUCCAUGCUUUAAAAUAAGCAUGAUUAUGUCGAUGAAGCCCUGGAGAUUGUGGUAGGAGUGGCAUAAAAAUUACAGACUCAUUGAGGAGAGGCUGGCUCUUCUCAUAAUGUGUCUAUCCAUUUAUUUACAAUUUCUUUGGUUUCUUUCCUUUGUAUUUUCUAAAUGUAAGUAGCCAACCUUGUAUGCACUUUGUUAAGUAUAAACCCAAUGAUUUCAUUUUCUUAAUUGCUGUAGAUAGUAUUUUAAAAACUUCUACUUCCACAGGUCACUGUUAGUAUGAAGUAUAAAUAGCUAGUGUAUAUGUAUAAUUGCAUGUGAGUGGAUAGCUCAUGGCCACAGUCCUAGAAUUCUAGAGGCUGAGGCAGGAACAUUAUGAGUUCAAGGCCAGCCUGGUGAGGUAGCAUCUCAGUAUGAAACAAUAGUAACUGAGGGGUGUGUCUGUCUAUAUGUAUUCCUAUGUGUAUGUGUAUGCAUGUAUGUGUCCCUGUGAUGAGCUUGCAUCCUAUGAUUCUGGUGUUUUAUAUACUUGGGUGCUGAGGUAUUUCUUGUGGGAGCUGAGCCCUUACCUCUCCCCCUGUCUUCUUCUCAUUGCAGCUGUGUGCAGCUGUGUGUCUUCAGGUGAGUGGAUUCCUUGUGGCCACCUUGUUUCUGCUGGGAACUUCCACUGCCUGGUAGACUGUGACAUUGUUUCCAUUUUAAAAAUAAAUUCUCCCCCCCUCCCUUUUUUUUUCUCCUGGAACUAAAAAGGUGCCGUAUUAAUUUGUAUUAGAAUAAACCCUCUGCAUGUCUGUCUGUCAGUUGUCUUCCACCCUGUGUCAUAACACCAGCAUCUUUCAGCACGCCUCCCCCCUCGAACUGGAGACCUCCGACUAGAACCGUUGGUUCUUUAACGCUGAGGAGUCCCUGGGCUCCUUCUCCAGCUCUCUACCUGCUGCUCCUUCUUGGAGUGAUCCUGGACUUGUCUGCCACUCUGCAUGUCAAGUCUCCUAUUCCUAUCUUCGUCAAUCAAUCAAUCAAUCUCUCAAUUGUAUCUCCAGCUUUUUGCUAGCAUGUACUUAAAUGCUUCUUUUAAAAGGUUCAUAGCAAUAUGUUUAUAUGUUGUUUGAAAAUAUAUCUUUGAUCUGUCUUUAUACAUGGAAGCUCUAACUGAGUAUAGACUCUAGGAUGCAAAUUAUUUCCCUUCAGUUUUUUAAGUGACCACCCUUCCAUCUUCUGUCUAGCAUUCCAUGUAGCAAGAUCUCAUUUAAUCUUUAUAGCACCCUGAACAAGAGUGCUUUGACUUCCCAGGACUCUGAAGAGCCAUUCACAGUGAGUGAACUGUCCAGUAGUGUCUGAGCCUCCACAAGAUGCUACAUGGAAGGGCUGGAGUUGGCACGGGGAGAUGGCUUAUAAGGCUGUACAUCCCAGAAGAAGCUCAAUGCCGAGCAGAUACGCUGUAGUGGCGUCUCAGAUUAUAUUCUCAGACUCAUAACUGGGGCAUCUGCAAGGCACACGGCAGAAUGCAAACAUGCUUCAGCUUCCAUCGGUUUUCAGGAAAGAUAUGGUUCUCGGCCUCAAGUCCGCUCUCCUGCCUUCUAUUGAGCAGCACAUACUCCAGAUAGCCAUUAUCCCAGCUGCGGCUAUCAAAGAGAGACAGGGCCAGGAUGACUCUGUGGAGCAAGAAUGAUGCCCAAACCCAACGCUCACCCUGAUAGCCUAGUAGUGGCCAGCAACCCCUGCUAUAAAUGUUUCCAGAACUCUUCUGUUCAUGGUGUCAAUAAAGAAGAUAAACGAUU
RNAcentral lists this long non-coding RNA (4288 nucleotides) under Mus musculus (house mouse). RNAcentral's name for it is "predicted gene, 46378". Lineage: Eukaryota; Metazoa; Chordata; Mammalia; Rodentia; Muridae. The record is from RNAcentral.